Long non-coding RNA from Esox lucius (northern pike), 341 nucleotides. The record is from Ensembl. NCBI's taxonomy places the organism in Eukaryota, Metazoa, Chordata, Actinopteri, Esociformes, Esocidae.
GGGACGAGAGGAAGACAUUAAAAAGUUAGUGCUGGCCAUUAUGAAAAAGACCAGAGGCUGUGCAGAUAUACUUUCAGGCAUCUUACGGUUUAUUCAACGGGAAAGUGGUGAAAGAUAAAGUGGUUUUGUUGUAAGAGCAGAAAGUGCGUCUUGAGCCCACGGCGCCACAAUACCUGUGUUCUCCCAGAAGCAUCAGCUUUGGACUACUGGACCAGCCUAGGAGAAACACGAGUCCCUACCAGGCACAGAUCUCAUAUGAACCGGAAUCCCAACGAUGAAAUGCAGUGUCAAAGGUGCCAUUGAGGUACCGCGUUUGGUUGCCGAUGCCGACCGGAAGUCAG